This 443-nucleotide ribosomal RNA is filed under the name uncultured bacterium. RNAcentral's name for it is "partial 16S ribosomal RNA". It matches the Rfam family "Bacterial small subunit ribosomal RNA", at positions 338 to 795 of the family's 1533-position model. The record is from RNAcentral.
CCUACGGGGGACAGCAGUGGGGGAUAUUGGACAAUGGGGGAAACCCUGAUCCAGCGACGCCGCGUGAGUGAAGAAGUAUUUCAGUAUGUAAAGCUCUAUCAGCAGGGAAGAAAGAAAUGACGGUACCUGAGUAAGAAGCCCCGGCUAACUACGUGCCAGCAGCCGCGGUAAUACGUAGGGGGCAAGCGUUAUCCGGAAUUACUGGGUGUAAAGGGAGCGUAGACGGUAAUGCAAGUCUGGAGUGAAAGGCGGGGGCGCAACCCCCGGACUGCUCUGGAAACUGUGUAACUGGAGUGCAGGAGAGGCAGGCGGAAUUCCUAGUGUAGCGGUGAAAUGCGUAGAUAUUAGGAGGAACACCAGUGGCGAAGGCGGCCUGCUGGACUGUAACUGACGUUGAGGCUCGAAAGCGUGGGGAGCAAACAGGAUUAGAUACCCUAGUAGUC